AAAAAGACAAACCCUGAUUUUCUAUGUCAACAUUUGACUGUCCGUCUUAUAUGAAAUUUUUUUAUAAUUAGUAUUUUCAUUGUUGUUAGAUGAUAAAACAUAAUUAAUACUUUAUGCGUGACUUAUCUUUUUAAUUUUUUUCAUAAUUUUUUUUCAAAUAAGACGAACGGUCAAACGUUAGACACGGAAACUAGGGAUUGUCUUUUUU
Oryza barthii is the source of this 208-nucleotide non-coding RNA. NCBI's taxonomy places the organism in Eukaryota, Viridiplantae, Streptophyta, Magnoliopsida, Poales, Poaceae. The record is from Rfam.